Molecule: ribosomal RNA, 451 nt
Filed under: uncultured bacterium
Lineage: Bacteria
Description: bacterial SSU rRNA
Rfam family: Bacterial small subunit ribosomal RNA
Source: RNAcentral
ACUCCUACGGGAGGCAGCAGUGGGGAAUCUUAGACAAUGGGCGCAAGCCUGAUCUAGCCAUGCCGCGUGAGUGAAGAAGGCCCUAGGGUCGUAAAACUCUUUCGCCAGGGAUGAUAAUGACAGUACCUGGUAAAGAAACCCCGGCUAACUCCGUGCCAGCAGCCGCGGUAAUACGGAGGGGGUUAGCGUUGUUCGGAAUUACUGGGGCGUAAAGCGUACGUAGGCGGAUUAGUCAGUCAGAGGUGAAAUCCCAGGGGCUCAACCCUGGAACUGCCUUUUGAUACUGCUAGUCUUGAGUUCGAGAGAGGUGAGUGGAAUUCCAAGUGUAGAGGUGAAAUUCGUAGAUAUUUGGAGGAACACCAGUGGCGAAGGCGGCUCACUGGCUCGAUACUGACGCUGAGGUACGAAAGUGUGGGGAGCAAACAGGAUUAGAUACCCUGGUAGGAUAGCG